Molecule: ribosomal RNA, 483 nt
Filed under: uncultured bacterium
Lineage: Bacteria
Description: partial 16S ribosomal RNA
Rfam family: Bacterial small subunit ribosomal RNA
Source: RNAcentral
AUUGAACGCUGGCGGCAGGCCUAACACAUGCAAGUCGAGCGGAUGAAGGGAGCUUGCUCCUGGAUUCAGCGGCGGACGGGUGAGUAAUGCCUAGGAAUCUGCCUGGUAGUGGGGGAUAACGUCCGGAAACGGGCGCUAAUACCGCAUACGUCCUGAGGGAGAAAGUGGGGAUUCUCGGACCCUACCGCUAUAGAUGAACCUAGGUCGGAUUAGCUAGUUGGUGGGGUAAAGGCCUACCAAGGCGACGAUCCGUAACUGGUCUGAGAGGAUGAUCAGUCACACUGGAACUGAGACACGGUCCAGACUCCUACGGGAGGCAGCAGUGGGGAAUAUUGGACAAUGGGCGAAAGCCUGAUCCAGCCAUGCCGCGUGUGUGAAGAAGGUCUUCGGAUUGUAAAGCACUUUAAGUUGGGAGGAAGGGCAGUAAGUUAAUACCUUGCUGUUUUGACGUUACCAACGGAAUAAGCACCGGCUAACUUCGUG